UUUUUGCCACUAUCAUACAAGAUGUCUAAUAACACACAACCUUGUGUUAUCAUAAGACAUGGUUCUGCACAUCCACUUGCUAAGUAUAUCUACGAGCACUACCUAUAUGGUCUUGGAGUAUAUUUGAAAUAUAAUUUUCACUUGGAGACAACAGAGAUAAUUAUAUGUCAAGAGAAGACUCACCAUUUGAAAGAAGAUGAUAGUAAUCUUCUUGUUUUUCUUUGGG
This 226-nucleotide long non-coding RNA is filed under the name Panax ginseng (ginseng). Its description in RNAcentral is "long non-coding RNA (PGIN_LNC010029)". The record is from RNAcentral. Lineage: Eukaryota; Viridiplantae; Streptophyta; Magnoliopsida; Apiales; Araliaceae.